Molecule: ribosomal RNA, 253 nt
Filed under: uncultured bacterium
Lineage: Bacteria
Description: partial 16S ribosomal RNA
Rfam family: Bacterial small subunit ribosomal RNA
Source: RNAcentral
CACGGGGGGAGCAAGCGUUGUUCGGAAUCACUGGGCGUAAAGGGCGUGUAGGCGGUCAGGUUAGUGGGACGUGAAAUGCCCCGGCUUACCCGGGGACCUGCGUCCCAAACUGCCUGGCUUGAGUAUGGGAGAGGAUGAGGGAAUUCCUGGUGUAGCGGUGAAAUGCGUAGAUAUCAGGAGGAACACCGGUGGCGAAGGCGCUCAUCUGGCCCAAUACUGACGCUGAGGCGCGAAAGCUAGGGGAGCAAACGGG